Molecule: long non-coding RNA, 216 nt
Filed under: Pan troglodytes (chimpanzee)
Lineage: Eukaryota; Metazoa; Chordata; Mammalia; Primates; Hominidae
Description: long non-coding RNA NONPTRT014722
Source: RNAcentral
CAAAAUAGAGGCUAUCAAAUGUUUCAUACCUAAGAAUGGAGGGCAGCUCCUGUUUACCAUUUUUACUAUCUUUCCUUACAAUUAAUACUCCAUGAAAGACUUUUUAAAAUUCAUGUUAGCUAGAACUAUGGUAAUGAAUCUUUUCAUUGCAAAGCAACAGUUUGGAGCUUCCAGUAGAAUAACAACAAAAAUCUGGGAUGAAAUAAAAACCAAUUG